Molecule: long non-coding RNA, 5753 nt
Filed under: Brassica napus (rape)
Lineage: Eukaryota; Viridiplantae; Streptophyta; Magnoliopsida; Brassicales; Brassicaceae
Description: long non-coding RNA (BNAP_LNC019019)
Source: RNAcentral
AUGUUGUACUAACUUUACCAAAUGAUCCAAUAAAUGUUAGAAAUGUUUGCUCCAAAUAUUGGUUUUUACUAACAUGAACAGAUUAACUGUUGUGAAGUCCGGUUCAAUUAAACUCCAGUUAGACUGAAUAGACUUAAACCGAGAUAGAAGGUUUAGCGGAUUAAUCAGAACGAUGGCGUUUUGAUGAGAGACAGACACGUGUACACCGAGAGUUUGUUACACUUAAAAAGAGAUCAUUGAGAAGGUUGUUACGAUGAUCAGAGAGAGAAAAAGAUCAGAGAGAUUUGGCGAUCAGAUCGGAGAAGAAGAGCUUGAGCAUUCGUGUUGAAGAAGCUUGGGAAGCGUCAAACCGCAGAGUAUAUGAGGUAUAUCGAUUACACAUUGUAAGUCGAUCACAUACUCUGUCCUCAGCUCGAUUGAGAUCUCUGGAUCACGUAUUGUUGAUAUACGUUGUAGAUCACCAUUGUUGAUUGGUUGAAGCUCUUUGAAGUUAAUAAAACGCGCUGAGGGACGUUUUUUCCCUCCCCUGUGAGUAGAUCAGCAAACACAGGGUUAACAAAACCGUGUCGACUUAUUCUUGCUUUAUCGAACGUAUAAACCUAGAUUGAUAACAUUCUAGGUUGAAUCAGUUAAGAUCUUGAGCUCAAAUCGGUUUAAAACUCUAGAAGUGGUAUCAGACCAUCUAGGUUGGAUUGCGAAGGCUAAAGAGUUGUGGAUUUGAGGUCAUCUUGAAACUCAGAGUGAUUGAAGAGAGUUUCAAGAUCAGAUCUAAGAUUCGAAGGAUUCAUCUCUGGAAGUGAUGACCAUGGCACCAACGAUGGGAAAAUUUCAGAUGGACAAGUUAGAUGGCAAAUGUGAUUUUGGUCUCUGGAAGUUCAAGCUUAUGGGGCAACUUGAGAUUCAGAGACUACUGGUAACAAUCACCGAAGGAUUCACAAUCUAUGCUUCAUCAGAGAAGCAAGAAGAAGGAGCUUCUCCCUUGGUGGACCAGAAGAAGGCUGAGAAGGAUCUAAGAACAAGGAGCUUGCUUGGAACUUGUGUAAGCGACUCUAUUCUUAGAAAGAUAAUGAAUGAACUACUGCGUUGGGAAUGUGGAAGGCAAUGGAGAAGAUCUAUCAGACUAGAUCUCUUCCAAACAGAAUUUAUCUUAAGAAGCAGUUCUCUUGCUACAAGAUGGAAGAGGAUAAGACCAUUGAGGAGAAUGUUGACAUCUUUCUCAAGCUCAUUGCGGAUCUGGAGAGUCUUAAGAUGACAGUCUCUGAUGAAGAUCAGGCAAUACAACUUCUAUCUGGCCUCCCACCUGCGUUUGAACAACUAGUACAUACACUACAGUAUGGUACUGGAAAAGAAACAUUAACUGUCUCAAAAGUUGUGACUUCAGCUUACUCAAUGGAAGCUGAACUGAGACAUAGAGGAUUGCUAGGCAAGAAGAAGAAUGGAGCUGAAGGAUUAUAUGUGGAAGCUCGUGGUAGAUCAUCAAAGAGACAGUCUGAAUCAGGAUACAAAAAGGACUACAAGAGAAACAACAGAUCAAAGAGUCAUGGAGACAGGCCAAAGUCUAGAGGAAGGUCUGAGAAAUGGAAGCGAGGCACAUGCUUUAUCUGUGGAAAAGAUGGACAUUGGAAGAAAUAAUGUCCAGAGAGAAAUGAAAGAAGUAAUCCAGAGCCAUUGGCAAACUCAGUUCAUGAAGUGAGACAACCAAUGGUCCUAACGGCUAGUCCAACAGAUACUAAAGGUGAUUGGAUUCUUGAUUCAGGAUGCACGUUUCACAUAACUCCAGACAUAGAGCUGUUGUUUGACUUGGAAGAAUCAGAUGGAGGAAGAGUUCUUAUGGCAAACAAUACUCAAAGUGAAGUAAAAGGUAUUGGGAAGAUAAGAAUCUUAAAUGAAGAAGGACAUGAAGUGAUUCUUACUGGAGUGCGUUUUAUGCCUAAUAUGAGAAGAAACUUGAUCUCAUAUGGUAUGCUUGAGAAGUCUGGCUGCAGAUACGAAAGAGGAGAUUUCACAGUCAUAUUUUUCAAAGGAGAUAAGAAGGUGAUCAGUGGUAAAUAAAUUCAUGGUUUGUAUUAUCUUCAAGGGUCAGUGGUUAAGGGUGAAGCGAAUGCAGCGAUGCCAAAAGAGAAGAAUACCAUGCUUUGGCAUUCAAGACUUGGACACAUCAGUAAGAAGAACUUUGAUAUUCUGAUCAAGGAGGGUUACAUACCAAAGGCAGAAGCAGGGGAAAUGGGUUUCUGUGAGGAUUGUGUUCUAGGAAAGUCUCACAAGCAGAGCUUUCCAACGGCAAAACACACCACCAAAAACAUUCUUGAGUAUGUACACUCAGAUCUCUGGGGUUCUUCACCAAACUCAGAAAGCCUUGGAGGAUGCAAGUACUUUAUCAGCUUCAUAGAUGAUUUCUCAAAGAAAGUAUGGGUCUUCUUCCUGAAAACUAAGGAUGAGGCUUUCUUGAGGUUAAAGAAUGGAAAGAAAUGGUUAAGAGUCAUAGAGAGAAGAAGAUCAAUUGUUUGAGAACUGAUAAUGGGUUAGAAUACUGCAAUAAUCAGUUUGAAGAGUUGUGUAGAAAAAGUGGGAUAAAGAGGCAUAGGACUUGCGCCUACACACCUCAACAUAAUGGGACGGCAGAGAGAAUGAAUCAAACUAUUAUGGAUAGAGUUCGAAGCAUGUUGUCAGAAACUGGACUAGGAAAAGAGUUUUGGGCAGAAGCUACCUCAACAGCUGUUUACUUGAUCAACCGAACUCCAAAUUCUACAAUUGAGUUCAAGCUUCCUGAAGAAGUAUGGUCUGGUAGGAAACCUGAUAUUGGCCAUCUCAAGAGGUUCGGUUGCACCGCAUAUGUUCAUGUUACACAAGACAAAACAAGCCCCAGAGCAUUAAAAGGGAUUUUUGUAGGUUAUCCUUUUGGAGUAAAAGGAUACCGUGUCUGGAUCACUGAAGAUGCAAAGUGUGUAACAAGUAGGAAUGUUAUCUUCAGAGAAGAAGAGGUGUAUAAGGAUGUUGAGGAGACUACAAAGAAGGCUGAACCAGAAACUGAGUUAAGAAAGGAGAAAAGGUCAGGAGAGAAGAAGGUCACAUUCAGUCCAAAGUUGAUUCGUGGAUCAGGAUAUGAGUAUGGUGAAACAUCAGGCUUAGGUGGAGAAACUUCAGAGUUGCAGACUGAGAGUGAAAGUGAGAAUAAUGCAGGGUCUGAGGGAUAUUCAGAAAGUGAUGAAGAAGAAGGCCUCACGUUUCACGAAGAAUCAGAAACUGAGACUCAACCUGAGGUUAGUGGUUACCUGUUGGCAAGGGAUCGAACAAGAAGAAACGUAAGACCUCCUUCAAGAUAUGAAGAUGCAAAUCUUGUAGCUUAUGCUCUGUCAGUCUCUGAAGAUAUUGAGUCUGAGGAACCAAAAUUAUUUGCAGAAGCUAAGCUAAGCAAGAAAUAGAAAUUAUGGAACAAUGCAACUUCAGAGGAAAUGGUUUUUCUUGAUAAGAAUCACACAUGGGACUUGAUUGAAAGGCCUGAAGGACAGAAAACAGUUGGAUGUAAGUGGUUGUUUAAACUUAAGCCAGGGAUUCCGGGGGUUGAAAACGAGAGGCACAAAGCUAGGCUUGUAGCAAAAGGUUAUUCUCAAAAGAAGGGAAUAGACUACAAUGAGAUAUUCUCUCCUGUUGUCAAACAUGUCUCCAUAAGACUAAUGUUAUCGAUUGUAGUCAACAAGGACUAUGAGUUGGAGCAGCUUGAUGUGAAAACUGCCUUCUUACAUGGGAAUUUAGAAGAAAGAAUCAUCAUGGAUCAGCCUGAGGGAUUUAUAAAACCUGGAGAUGAGAACAAGGUCUGCUUGUUGAGGAAGUCUCUUUAUGGCUUGAAACAGUCACCAAGACAAUGGAAUCUUAGGUUUGAUAAUUUCAUGAUAGAUCAGAAGCUUAAGAGAAGUGAGUAUGACUCUUGCGUCUACAUGAAGAACCUCAGGACUGAACAAGCUAUCUAUCUUCUACUGUAUGUUGAUGAUAUGCUUAUAACAUCAGGGGAUUUGUCUGAAAUAAGAAAAAUAAAAGACAGUCUGAGUAAUGAGUUCGAAAUGAAGGAUAUGGGAGCUGCAUCUCGUAUUCUAGGUAUGGACAUCACUAGAUACAGGAAGAAUGGUGUGUUGACGUUGUCUCAAGGGAACUACAUCAGAAAGGUGCUUAAGACAUUUGGAAUGAGUGAAGCUACCGCAGUUACAAUUCCGCUAGCUUCUCAUUUUAAACUCAGGAGCUUAAAGAAGGAUGAACUGGUGAUAGAGAAAGCUCGAAUGGAUAAGGUUCCUUAUGCCAGUGUUGUAGGCAGUAUGAUGUAUGCUAUGAUUGGGACAAGACCUGACUUGGCUUAUGCUGUUGGUGUUAUAAGUCGAUUCAUGUCAAAGUCGGGUAUGAAGCAAUGGGAAGCAGUCAAGUGGGGUUUGAGAUAUUUGAGAGGCGAGACUUCAAGGUGUUUGGAGUUCAGAAAGCAUGGAGAAUUUAGCAUUGAAGGCUUCAGUGACUCUGACUAAGCUACAGACAUGGAUAGGAGGAGGUCAGUCAGAGGGUAUAUCUUCAAGGUUUGGGGUAACACAGUGAGCUGGAGAUCAAACCUACAAUCUGUUGUUGCCUUAUCAUCCAUUGAGGCAGAGUAUAUGGCUCUGUCGACAGCUACUAAGGAAGCUAUCUGGAUGAAGGGAAUUUCUGAAGAGUUGGGAUUCGAUUCAGGGAAGGUUAAGAUGCAUUGUGAUUCUCAAAGUGCUUUGGCUCUUGCAAAGAACGCAGUGUAUCAUGAGAAAACUAAACAUGUGGCUACAAAGUACAACUUCAUCAGGGACAUUAUAGCGCAAGGAACUAUCAUUCUGUAUAAGAUACACACAAGCAAGAAUCCAACCGAUUUCUUCACUAAGGCUCUUCCUAGACCUAAGUUCAAUCUCUGCUGUGAUUUGUCGAAUGUUGUAUGAGAAGAGAGCUUCGAGUAACUCUAUGAGACUGAUCUAAUAUGCCUGCUAGAUCAGCGUGCUUGAGAGUUUCAUUUGGUAAGAGUUACUCAUGAUGCAGGAUAAAUGGUUCAGAAGGUGUUUAGUUUGAGGUGGAGCUCGUCUUGGUCAGUUCAAGAUGUGUGGUCUUGGCAUUAAAUUUUUGUUUAGUUCUUGUGAGUUCAGCUUCAGGUUGAGUUGAGAAUCAGUUCUGUUCAGUCAAGUUUUAGAGAUCAAGUUGAGUAAUCAGAAUGGGUUCAGACUAUUCAAAAGCUGCUGGUGCUUCUGUGGAGUGGUUAUUGAAAGGUGGAGAUUGUGAAGUCCGGUUCAAUUAAACUCCGGUUAGACUGAAUAGAGUUAAACCUAGAUGGAAGGUUUAGCGGAUUAAUCAGAACGAUGACGUUUUGAUGAGAGACAGACAUGUGUACACCGAGAGUUUGUUACACUUAAAAAGAGAUUGUUGAGAAGGUUGUUACGAUGAUCAGAGAGAGAAAAAUAUCAGAGAGAUUUGGCGAUCAGAUCAGAGAAGAAGAGCUUGAGCAUUCGUGUUGAAGAAGCUUGGGAAGCGUCACACCGCAGAGUAUAGGAGGUAUAUCGAUUACACGUUGUAAGUCGAUCACAUACUCUGUUCUCAGCUCGAUUGAGAUCUUUGGAUCACGUAUUGUUGAUAUACGUUGUAGAUCGCCAUUGUUGAUUGGUUGAAGCUCUCUGAAGUUAAUAAAACGCGCCGAGGGACGUUAUUCCCUCCCCUGUGAGUAAAUCAGCGAACACAGGGUUAACAAAAUCGUGUCGACUUAU